Molecule: ribosomal RNA, 402 nt
Filed under: uncultured bacterium
Lineage: Bacteria
Description: bacterial SSU rRNA
Rfam family: Bacterial small subunit ribosomal RNA
Source: RNAcentral
UGGGGAAUCUUGCACAAUGGGGGCAACCCUGAUGCAGCGACGCCGCGUGAGCGAUGAAGCCCUUCGGGGCGUAAAGCUCUUUCGACCGGAACGAUAAUGACGGUACCGGGAGAAGAAGCUGCGGCUAACUCCGUGCCAGCAGCCGCGGUAAUACGGGGGGUGCAAGCGUUACUCGGAAUCACUGGGCGUAAAGGGAGCGUAGGCGUUUUAUUAAGUCUUGAGUGAAAGCUCGCAGCUCAACUGCGGAACUGCUCAGGAAACUGAUAGAAUUGAGAAUGGAAGAUGUAGGUGGAAUUUCCGGUGUAGGGGUAAAAUCCGUAGAUAUCGGAAGGAAUACCGGAAGCGAAGGCGACCUACUGGGACAUUACUGACGCUGAGGCGCGAAAGCGCGGGGAGCAAACA